Molecule: ribosomal RNA, 253 nt
Filed under: uncultured bacterium
Lineage: Bacteria
Description: partial 16S ribosomal RNA
Rfam family: Bacterial small subunit ribosomal RNA
Source: RNAcentral
UACGUAGGGUGCAAGCGUUGUCCGGAAUUAUUGGGCGUAAAGAGCUCGUAGGCGGUCUGUCGCGUCUGGUGUGAAAAUCCAGGGCUUAACCCUGGACCUGCAUCGGGUACGGGCAGACUAGAGUGCGGUAGGGGAGAUCGGAAUUCCUGGUGUAGCGGUGAAAUGCGCAGAUAUCAGGAGGAACACCGGUGGCGAAGGCGGAUCUCUGGGCAACAACUGACGCUGAGGAGCGAAAGCGUGGGGAGCGAACAGG